This 634-nucleotide long non-coding RNA is filed under the name Fukomys damarensis (Damara mole-rat). RNAcentral describes it as "lncRNA (ENSFDAG00000031502.1)". The record is from RNAcentral. Lineage: Eukaryota; Metazoa; Chordata; Mammalia; Rodentia; Bathyergidae.
AUUCAUUUCAGUAAUGCAGGGAGCCUUAUCCGUGCCUUGCUCUUUAUUUUUUUCAGAACCCUUUCGCUGUGUGGAACUUGUCAGGAGGCACCUGAUGGAAACACCGUGAAGCUGUAGACUGUCACAGUGCACGAACGACAGCUAGGAAGGGCAGUCACUCUGCACAGCGACAACUCCUCACCAGGAAAGGAGGUCUUCACAGAAUGACUUCAAUUUAUAGCAGGGCCUGGGUUCGAUCUCUGGUACAAAAGAAAGAAAGGAAGGAAGAAGGAAAGAAGGAAAGAAAGAAAGAAAGAAAGAAAGAAAGAAAGAAAGAAAGAAAGAAAGAAAGAAAGAAAGAAAGAAAGAAGAAAGAAAGACAGAGCCCCACCUCUGACACAAGAGUUUUUGGGACAUUCUAGACCCAAACAAUUUCAAUGCAUGUCUGAUGGUUGGCCACUUGCAUAUGUGGACCUGAUAACCUAUUCACACUGAGAGGUGGAAAGCCAAGCAGAGUUCUCCAGACAUAAAACAAGAGAAACAGAAGCAUCAACUGUUCCUGGGAGUGAAAGAUGCCGAUUUCUAUCCUCCAACCAAAUAUACACACAGGCACAGUGCAAAAAAAAAAAAAAAGAAUAUUUACAGGUGUUUUUCC